This is a long non-coding RNA of Drosophila innubila, 692 nucleotides long. RefSeq lists it as uncharacterized. Lineage: Eukaryota; Metazoa; Arthropoda; Insecta; Diptera; Drosophilidae. The record is from RefSeq and is a predicted model, not a curated record. The transcript has 2 exons.
ACAAUUCUCGUAUCACAUUCACAUACAUAUAUACAGAUGCAUGUGUGCUUAUCUCUAUUUAUAGUGGCCAGUUUUCGCGGCGACGUCGCGACCUGUAUAAAAUAGUGUGCACUUCCAAGAAGGCAGUCAGUUCUCAGUGAAAACCGUUAACGGCAACAUGGCUCAAUCUUACUGGAUCUUUCCAAAAGUUGCAAGUAGAAAUAUUCCUUUGGAACUGAAGCGAAGCUGAAGCAUUCCAAACGCAUUUUGGACACACUCUACAACUGUGAAGGACGUCCCCAGGACUUGGCAUGGUGGAUGGAGCUUUAAGGCGCUUUAAGCGCAUUCCUUUACGUUUUGGAUACUCAGUUGAAGACACCAAACGACAGAACCGGGCAUGAUAACAGUGCAAUCUCUUUGCUAAGGACACUGGAAAUUCUGAUGGACAGUGUGACGGCAAAGGCUUUUCAUGUGCAAUAUACCCUAUAAUUUUUAGUUUUUAAGUUCUUGUAAUUUGUUAAAGAUAUUUGUAAAUAUGAAUUAGAGAAUUUAAAGUGUUAACUAAUUACAUAAAAUAUUUUUCAUUUCUAUAUUACUAGUUCAAAAAACAACAAGAUUAUUUACGUCUUCCAUUCAAUGUUAUAAUAACAUUCAUAUUUUGAUAUGUGUAUGUAGUUAAUUAUGUAAAUGUAAAUAAAUUAAUCAUAAGAAAA